Molecule: ribosomal RNA, 466 nt
Filed under: uncultured bacterium
Lineage: Bacteria
Description: partial 16S ribosomal RNA
Rfam family: Bacterial small subunit ribosomal RNA
Source: RNAcentral
GAUGAACGCUGGCGGCGUGCUUAACACAUGCAAGUCGAACGAUGAAGCCCAGCUUGUUGGGUGGAUUCGUGGCGAACGGGUGAGUAACACGUGAGUAACCUGCCCUUAACUCUGGGAUAAGCCUGGGAAACUGGGUCUAUUACCGGAUAGGAGCGUCCACCGCACGGUGGGUGUUGGAAAGAUUUAGCGGUUUUGGAUGGACUCGCGGCGUAUCAGCUUGUUGGUGAGGUAAUGGCUCACCAAGGCGCCGACGGGUAGCCGGCCUGAGAGGGUGACCGGCCACACUGGGACUGAGACACGGCCCAGACUCCUACGGGAGGCAGCAGUGGGGAAUAUUGCACAAUGGGCGCAAGCCUGAUGCAGCGACGCCGCGUGAGGGAUGACGGCCUUCGGGUUGUAAACCUCUUUCAGUAGGGAAGAAGCGAAAGUGACGGUACCUGCAGAAGAAGCACCGGCUAACUACGUG